CCCGUAAAAAAUUCGCCCUAGAGUUUGAUCAUGGAUCAGAUUGAACGCUGGCGGAAUGCUUUACACAUGCAAGUCGAACGAUGAUUUCUAGCUUGCUAGAAUGAUUAGUGGCGAACGGGUGAGUAAUGUAUCGGAACGUAUCCAAUAAUGGGGGAUAACUAAUCGAAAGGUUGGCUAAUACCGCAUACGCCCUACGGGGGAAAGCAGGGGAUCUUCGGGACCUUGCGUUAAUGGAGCGGCCGAUAUCUGAUUAGCUAGUUGGUGAGGUAAAAGCUCACCAAGGCGACGAUCAGUAGCUGGUCUGAGAGGACGACCAGCCACACUGGAACUGAGACACGGUCCAGACUCCUACGGGAGGCAGCAGUGGGGAAUUUUGGACAAUGGGCGAAAGCCUGAUCCAGCCAUUCCGCGUGAGUGAAGAAGGCCUUCGGGUUGUAAAGCUCUUUCGCAAGGGAAGAAACGAUGCAGUCGAAUAAACUGUGUUAAUGACGGUACCUUGAUAAGAAGCACCGGCUAACUACGUGCCAGCAGCCGCGGUAAUACGUAGGGUGCAAGCGUUAAUCGGAAUUACUGGGCGUAAAGCGUGCGCAGGCGGUUUUGUAAGUCAGAUGUGAAAUCCCCGAGCUCAACUUGGGAACUGCGUUUGAAACUACAAGACUAGAAUAUGUCAGAGGGGGGUAGAAUUCCACGUGUAGCCAGUGAAAUGCGUAGAGAUGUGGAGGAAUACCAAUGGCGAAGGCAGCCCCCUGGGAUAAUAUUGACGCUCAUGCACGAAAGCGUGGGGGAGCAAACAGGAUUAGAUACCCUGGUAGUCCACGCCCUAAACGAAUGUCUACUAGUUGGUUGGUGGAGUAAAAUCCAUGAGUAACGCAGCUAACGCGUGAAGUAGACCGCCUGGGGAGUACGGUCCGCAAGAUUAAAACUCAAACGAAUUGACGG
RNAcentral lists this ribosomal RNA (939 nucleotides) under uncultured bacterium. RNAcentral's name for it is "bacterial SSU rRNA". It matches the Rfam family "Bacterial small subunit ribosomal RNA", at positions 1 to 916 of the family's 1533-position model. The record is from RNAcentral.